UACAGAGGUCUCAAGCGUUGUUCGGAUUCAUUGGGCGUAAAGGGUGCGUAGGCGGUCCUAUAAGUCAGUGCUGAAAUAUCCCGGCUUAACCGGGAGGGUGGCAUUGAUACUGUAGGACUUGAGUAAAGUUGAGGUUGGCGGAAUUGACGGUGUAGCGGUGAAAUGCUUAGAUAUCGUCAAGAACACCUAUUGCGAAGGCAGCUAACUAAGCUUUAACUGACGCUGAGGCACGAAAGUGUGGGGAUCAAACAGG
This 253-nucleotide ribosomal RNA is filed under the name uncultured bacterium. Its description in RNAcentral is "partial 16S ribosomal RNA". It matches the Rfam family "Bacterial small subunit ribosomal RNA", at positions 524 to 776 of the family's 1533-position model. The record is from RNAcentral.